UACAGAGGUGGCAAGCGUUGUUCGGAAUCACUGGGCGUAAAGGGCGUGUAGGCGGUUGAGUAAGUGGAAUGUGAAAUGCCCCGGCUCACCCGGGGACCGGCAUUCCAUACUGCUCAGCUCGAGUAUGGGAGAGGAUGAGGGAAUUCCUGGUGUAGCGGUGAAAUGCGUAGAUAUCAGGAGGAACACCGGUGGCGAAAGCGCUCAUCUGGCCCAAUACUGACGCUGAGGCGCGAAAGCUAGGGGAGCAAACGGG
Molecule: ribosomal RNA, 253 nt
Filed under: uncultured bacterium
Lineage: Bacteria
Description: partial 16S ribosomal RNA
Rfam family: Bacterial small subunit ribosomal RNA
Source: RNAcentral